This 497-nucleotide ribosomal RNA is filed under the name uncultured bacterium. RNAcentral's name for it is "partial 16S ribosomal RNA". It matches the Rfam family "Bacterial small subunit ribosomal RNA", at positions 28 to 507 of the family's 1533-position model. The record is from RNAcentral.
GAUGAACGCUGGCGGCGUGCCUAAUACAUGCAAGUCGAGCGAACAGACGAGGAGCUUGCUCCUCUGACGUUAGCGGCGGACGGGUGAGUAACACGUGGAUAACCUACCUAUAAGACUGGGAUAACUUCGGGAAACCGGAGCUAAUACCGGAUAAUAUAUUGAACCGCAUGGUUCAAUAGUGAAAGACGGUUUUGCUGUCACUUAUAGAUGGAUCCGCGCCGCAUUAGCUAGUUGGUAAGGUAACGGCUUACCAAGGCAACGAUGCGUAGCCGACCUGAGAGGGUGAUCGGCCACCCUGGACCUGAGCCGCGGUCCAGACUCCUACGGGAGGCAGCAGUAGGGAAUCUUCCGCAAUGGGCGAAAACCUGACGGAGCAACGCCGCGUGAGUGAUGAAGGUCUUCGGAUCGUAAAACUCUGUUAUUAGGGAAGAACAAAUGUGUAAGUAACUAUGCACGUCUUGACGGUACCUAAUCAGAAAGCCACGGCUAACUACGUG